UGCCCAAGCGCCACUGGGAUCUGGUGACACUUGUAGUCACGGCCCAGUGGGUCUCAGACCUCGUAGGACAUCCUGAAGUAGCCCGAGCGCUGACACGAAGUUUGCGCUGCGGCAUGAGCCCUCGAACCGCUGUAGUCGAUGCCAGCGGCUAAGAGUUGAAGACAAACUGCUGACGCGCUUUCGUGUCCACGAGGAACAGGCCGCCUCCCAGCUCGUGGGGCCGCAGGCACGGAGCUCUUGGAUCAUCAUAAUGUCCUCUGCGACUGGCGUCACUGUUUUCUUACCCACGUGGAGGCCCUGAUUGCUGUUCCCUGUCUGGCCGCCGUGGUGAGGACUCCCGGUGCUGUGCUGAAUGAAGGCGGUGAAGAGUGGACCCCGUGUCCUGCCCCUGACCUUGGGGAAAGACCCUCCCUUCUCACCAAGGGUGAUGCCAACUGGGGGUUCCCCAUAGUGCGUUCCCUCCAGACCGACGUUGUGGAGAGCUUCUGUCACGGAUGGAUGUUGUGCUUUGUCAGAUGCUUUUUCUGCAUCUAUGGAAAUUAUCACGUGCUUCUCACAAUUUCUCGGAUUGAUGUACUGUGCCACGUUGAUUGAUCCCCCCUGCAUCCUGGGAACGCAGCCCACGGUCCUGAUGCUUCUGAGCAACCACCGCAGCGGCGACCUGUGUCUCGCCAGGCGUCCCCAUUUCUGGCAGGAGUGGAUUUAUCUUCCUUCGCAGGGCCACACCUGGCUGUUUCGGACGCUUUUCUAUUUGGCGAUGAAGACUGUGGACUUGCAAGCCCAGCCAGCACUGGGUGAUCUCUGGCAGCUGCUGAGACUCUGUCACUGUCACGCCUCCGGAGUGGGAACGGGGACCAGAGAGGGCCGCCACCAGGGUCGUCUGGCUGGCUGGCUGCUGGGCAGGUUAUCGUCAUCAACCUCUCUGUGGCCUCAUUUCCUCACCUGAAACGGGCUUUGGUACCUACCUAAAAGGGCUGUUGUGAAGGCGAAUAAAUGGAUAUGUGUAAACUGCUUCAGGCGGAAA
Molecule: long non-coding RNA, 1024 nt
Organism: Suricata suricatta (meerkat)
Lineage: Eukaryota; Metazoa; Chordata; Mammalia; Carnivora; Herpestidae
Exons: 2
Source: RefSeq, a predicted model, not a curated record